Molecule: long non-coding RNA, 301 nt
Filed under: Elaeis guineensis (African oil palm)
Lineage: Eukaryota; Viridiplantae; Streptophyta; Magnoliopsida; Arecales; Arecaceae
Description: long non-coding RNA (EGUI_LNC064039)
Source: RNAcentral
AAACCCCUCUCCCAUGUCUCUCCCAUGUUCACAAAAGGUCUUCUCUCUUCUUUCUUACAUGGAAGGUGGUUUGGAUCAAAUCUAAAAGGAAUAAGUUUGGAUUUCGAAUUCUAUGAGAUAGAGUUUUAGAAAUCCAAAACUCUUUCAAUUUUGCACCGAAUUUAUCCAAAUUUUUUUUGAAAUUUUCAUGGCUUUUAGGGUAUAUAUUGUGCACCCUUUUUUGAUGAUCCAUGCAUAAAAAUAUGAAGGAGGUGCUCAAGAGUUGGGCAUCCCUUAACUUGCCAUGUUUGGAUAAGCCUUG